UUCUUUCGUGUUGAAAUUGGUAUGGAGACGUGGAUGGAGAUUUGAGUCUUAGGAAUUUGGGAAGAGCUCAAGUGAUUCGAAUGAAAAGACCUUGGCACAGACCUGUUAAGGAAGCUCCAUAUAAAGUGAAGAAAACAACAUGCUCAGCCAUGUCCUUGCCUUCUGCGCACGGUAGUGCAUUCACUGCCUGAGAAUUCAAGGCUAAAACAAAAAGAGGAGCUUUUGUUCCAACGGAUAAGUACUUACCUUUUUCAAAAAAUGCAUAAGCUGUCCUGGGUGUUUAGCAGUUAUUCGCACAGCUUUCCAAAGACUCACAGCAUUUAAAAGCUAACCCUACAGACAUUCAACAGCUUCUUCCAGGUCCCACCACAGUGGAAAAGAACUCCGGUGUCCUGGCUCCCUGUCCAGCUCUUCUCUCUCCCCUUCCAGCUGCCAUUUCAGCUUUAAGAAGUUCAUUCUCCACAUUCAGAUGCAGGCAAAUGCGUUUGACUUGAGCAUAUUGAUUUCAGGCAGGUGAGAGUGGAUGUAGUGAUUCAGC
RNAcentral lists this non-coding RNA (538 nucleotides) under Pongo abelii (Sumatran orangutan). Lineage: Eukaryota; Metazoa; Chordata; Mammalia; Primates; Hominidae. The record is from RNAcentral.